This is a non-coding RNA of Schistosoma curassoni, 45 nucleotides long. The record is from Rfam. NCBI's taxonomy places the organism in Eukaryota, Metazoa, Platyhelminthes, Trematoda, Strigeidida, Schistosomatidae.
AUCCAGCUGACGAGUUUCACAUAGGACGAAACACGAGUCCUAGAU